Molecule: long non-coding RNA, 1291 nt
Filed under: Astyanax mexicanus (Mexican tetra)
Lineage: Eukaryota; Metazoa; Chordata; Actinopteri; Characiformes; Acestrorhamphidae
Description: lncRNA (ENSAMXG00005019837.1)
Source: RNAcentral
ACACACCGCGCUGUCCUUCACUCCAGUCCUUCUGCAGUUCUGAUUCUGAUCAAAUGUCAGGAAACAUAAUCCUCUCCCCUUAAGCACUUUCAUCGCCCGCCGCAGCACCAGACAUAGCAACCCAGCCAAACAAAUGCCAGCGUGACAUCACAUGCCAGCGGCCGCUGACAGCCACCCAGCAGCUCCCAGUCCUCCUCUCACCACCUUCCGCAGGAGUCGCGGCGGCCGGGCGGCUCUGGAGGCCCCGGAGACUCCGGAGCUCAGCUUGCCGCUCGGAUUGUGUGUGUCUGAGAGGCCGUUCUGAGCGCCGCAUAUCAGCCAAAGAUAUAAAAAGCCUGUCUGAGGUUUCCUCUAGUCGCUAGCUACCCCACGCUAGCCAGCGGAGGUUAGCAUCUGAAGCAUUCCUGCACAUUCCUGCUCAAACGGAGGCAUGGAGAACACGUUUCCCUCAGCUGGCUUACAGCCGUCUCGCACAGAUACUGCAUGAUACAGAUGAAUACAGUGGGGCAAGGUAGCCUGAGGGACUCUACUACACGUUUAUGCAAGGCCACAAACACAGAAGCGGGAAGCAGAAGCAGACAGACGGAGCUCCACCUGACCCCAAACAGAUGGAGCGGCUGCCCGCACUUACGCUGCCUUUACAGACAGAUCUGAGCUGAGUUACGCAAAGCAGGAGCAUCUUGAUACAUGAGGAAGUACAAUAUGUUCAUGUUCAGAAUGAAACAGUACGAUUACGGACGUAAAAAAACAUGCAACCUGAAAAUAUAAUUAUCCACAACUUCCAUAAACUGUUUCUGGAUAGAACUGCUGCACUGUAAACCCAUUCGCUGUAUAAACUCCAAUGAUUUAAGUCUGUUUUACAUAAAAUUAGAUAUUUCUAAACAAUACUUAACUAUUUUGAGUUAGUUGAACAUUUGUGGGCACAUAUGCAUUCAAACUGAGAUCUUUGAGUUGAACCAACUUUAACAACCAAUAACAGCUUCUUUUCCAUUGGCUUCUGUCACAAUCUAUUUGCAUACUGGGUGUGUCCAACGGUUUCUGACAGACACUCACCAUCAGUGUGUAGUGAUUGACCCUGGGCUACUUUACAAGUAAAUCAACUUCCUCUUUAGUUUUAAUAACUUGAUUUUUUUUUUAUUUAUGGUAACUAAUGUUCAUUCUUUAUUGCUUAAAAAAAUUAACAAAAAAGCUGCCUUAACAAAGUUAAGUAAAAUCAGCUUAUUUGGUCUUAAAGUAUAACAAAAAUAACACAGUUAAAUAAACUUUCUCUCAAAUUUUUAAAAUAAGUUCA